Molecule: transfer RNA, 62 nt
Filed under: Osedax rubiplumus
Lineage: Eukaryota; Metazoa; Annelida; Polychaeta; Sabellida; Siboglinidae
Description: tRNA-Asn
Source: RNAcentral
UAAGCAGAAGCUAUAUUUAGCAUCUAACUGUUAAUUAGAAGAUAGUCUUACGACCUGUUUAG